RNAcentral lists this long non-coding RNA (411 nucleotides) under Androctonus crassicauda. The record is from RNAcentral. Lineage: Eukaryota; Metazoa; Arthropoda; Arachnida; Scorpiones; Buthidae.
CAAAAAACUGUUUUUUAAGCAACAUAUUUCGGUAUCUAGGCGAAACUAGUUGUCUAUUUGAAGCAUAGUAAAAAUAAAAUUAUUUCCGACAUUUUAUAUAGAAAAAAACUCAAAAUUUAAAAUUCUGUUAGUAUCGAUAUUAAUUCUUGUAUUAAAUCCAAUAAACUAUUUACAUAAUCUGCUGAAUAUUAAUCCGAGGAUUAGCAGAAUGUCACAGCUCAUCAGAUCAGUUUCAAAACUUUGCCGAGUCAAUGAAAUUAUAUACAGAUUUUUGAGUCACAAAAGGCAGAAAAUUAUUCGACUAAAACAAAAUUUAGAACUACUCCAUACGUCCUUUCUCACUUUAUUGCCCCAUUUUCGCAUGUGGUGUAAAAUAAAUAAAAUAUUUAUUAUUUCAGCUUUUACCCUGUU